AUAAAUCUUUCCUUCACUGUUUUCUUCAAACCCUACUGUGAAAUGUUUUACAGGGUCAAAGAGGAGAAGCUGGUGAAAGAGGAGUAGAUGGGAUGAAAGGGGAAAAGGGAGAUUCUGGGCGACCUGGUGUCCAUGGUUUACCCGGGCCAGCUGGCCAGAAAGGAGAGAAAGGGACAUCAGGAGAGCCCGGUCAGAGGGGUCAGAUCGGCCAUCAGGGGCUCCCUGGACAGACAGGACAGACCGGACCCUCGGGGCCCAGAGGACUGAGCGGAGAAAUAGGCCCCCCGGGAACACCUGGACCGGAAGGACGACCUGUAAGUAUCGUGUUUCCAAAUAAAUAUAUUGUUUAGCCUUCUUCUGCAAUAAGAUAAUCUAGUCAAUGAAGGAUAAAAUAUUGCAUAGACAAUUAAAUAGACACUCUUGUUCCAACGAAGACAUGCAUUUUCACAGGGCAGAGAGCUGUCUGAGC
This 469-nucleotide long non-coding RNA is filed under the name Sinocyclocheilus grahami. RNAcentral's name for it is "lncRNA (ENSSGRG00000045639.1)". The record is from RNAcentral. Lineage: Eukaryota; Metazoa; Chordata; Actinopteri; Cypriniformes; Cyprinidae.